AUACGGAGGGUCCAAGCGUUAUCCGGAAUCAUUGGGUUUAAAGGGUUCGCAGGCGGUUUAAUAAGUCAGUGGUGAAAUCCUACAGCUCAACUGUAGAACUGCCAUUGAUACUGUUAGACUUGAAUAUAGUUGGAGUAGGCGGAAUGUGUAGUGUAGCGGUGAAAUGCUUAGAUAUUACACAGAACACCGAUAGCGAAGGCAGCUUACUAAACUAUUAUUGACGCUCAUGAACGAAAGCGUGGGGAGCGAACAGGAUUAGAAACCCUAGUAGUCC
This 274-nucleotide ribosomal RNA is filed under the name uncultured bacterium. RNAcentral describes it as "partial 16S ribosomal RNA". It matches the Rfam family "Bacterial small subunit ribosomal RNA", at positions 523 to 796 of the family's 1533-position model. The record is from RNAcentral.